UCAGAGUUAACUUCCUCAUAAGUAAUUUCUUCAGCUACUCUUUUUCCCUUAGCCUUAUCUAGCUUAGCAGUUACCUCCAAAUAUUUAGUCUUUAAAUCCUUAAUCUUAUCAUUUGAAUCUUUUAGCAUUAUUUUAAGGAUUUCAUUUUCCCUCAUGUAAUCAUGCGUGAUUUCUUCCUUAGCUCUACCUACAGGAAUGCUCCU
Molecule: long non-coding RNA, 203 nt
Filed under: Daucus carota (carrot)
Lineage: Eukaryota; Viridiplantae; Streptophyta; Magnoliopsida; Apiales; Apiaceae
Description: long non-coding RNA (DCAR_LNC006755)
Source: RNAcentral